This 460-nucleotide ribosomal RNA is filed under the name uncultured bacterium. RNAcentral describes it as "partial 16S ribosomal RNA". It matches the Rfam family "Bacterial small subunit ribosomal RNA", at positions 338 to 795 of the family's 1533-position model. The record is from RNAcentral.
CCUACGGGAGACAGCAGUGAGGAAUAUUGGUCAAUGGGCGCGAGCCUGAACCAGCCAAGUAGCGUGAAGGAUGACUGCCCUACGGGUUGUAAACUUCUUUUAUAAAGGAAUAAAGUGAGGCACGUGUGCCUUUUUGUAUGUACUUUAUGAAUAAGGAUCGGCUAACUCCGUGCCAGCAGCCGCGGUAAUACGGAGGAUCCGAGCGUUAUACGGAUUUAUUGGGUUUAAAGGGAGCGUAGAUGGGUUGUUAAGUCAGUUGUGAAAGUUUGCGGCUCAACCGUAAAAUUGCAAUUGAUACUGGCAGCCUUGAGUACAGUUGAGGUAGGCGGAAUUCGUGGUGUAGCGGUGAAAUGCGUAGAUAUCACGAAGAACUCCGAUUGCGAAGGCAGCUUACUAAACUGCCACUGACAUUGAUGCUCGAAAGUGUGGGUAUCAAACAGGAUUAGAGACACGAGUAGUC